RNAcentral lists this transfer RNA (73 nucleotides) under Ixodes scapularis (black-legged tick). Its description in RNAcentral is "tRNA-Arg for anticodon ACG". It matches the Rfam family "tRNA". From Rfam's summary of the family: Transfer RNA (tRNA) molecules are approximately 80 nucleotides in length. Their secondary structure includes four short double-helical elements and three loops (D, anti-codon, and T loops). The record is from RNAcentral. Lineage: Eukaryota; Metazoa; Arthropoda; Arachnida; Ixodida; Ixodidae.
GCCUCGGUGGCUCGGAGGCGAGAGCGCCGGCCUACGGAUCCCCAGGUGGCGGGUUCGAAUCCCGACCGAGGUG